RNAcentral lists this ribosomal RNA (463 nucleotides) under uncultured bacterium. Its description in RNAcentral is "partial 16S ribosomal RNA". It matches the Rfam family "Bacterial small subunit ribosomal RNA", at positions 28 to 507 of the family's 1533-position model. The record is from RNAcentral.
GAUGAACGCUGACGGCAUGCUUAACACAUGCAAGUCGUUCGAGAAGCUGUGCUUGUACCGCCUCUCCAGGUAGGGCGGGUGAGGAAAGCGACAGGUGCUUGCCCUGCAGUUAGGGCUAACAGACGGAAACGAAUGCUAAGACCAGGCAAAGUAAGACGGACAACUGUAUAGCCUGAUGGAAAAUGAUGCUUCAGGAGAGCCUUGCGUACUAUUCGCUUGUUGGUGGGGUAACUGGCCACCAAGGCGAUGAUAGGUAGCCCGCCUGAGAGGCUGGACGGCCACAAGGCGACUGAGAGACAGCCCUAACGCCUACUGGAGGCAGCAGGAGAGAAUAUUGGACCAUGGGGGCAACCCUGAUGAAGGUAUUCGGUGUGUACGAUGAAGUUUUUCGGAAUGAAAAGUUCUUUCAGCAGGUAAGAACAUAAUGACGGUACCUGCAGAAGAAGCGACGGCUAACUACGUG